Molecule: non-coding RNA, 73 nt
Organism: Cricetulus griseus (Chinese hamster)
Lineage: Eukaryota; Metazoa; Chordata; Mammalia; Rodentia; Cricetidae
Source: Rfam
GGAGAGAUGGCUCAGUGGUUAAGAGCACUGACUGCUCUUCCAGAGGACCUGGGUUCAAUUCCCAGCACCUACA